ACUUUUGUUCUCCUCCUCCCUUUUUUUCUUUUCAGGAUUCUUCUUUUCUAUGUUUUAUCUUUCAUAAUAGAUCUGAUAAUUUUGAUUUUUCACUAUAUAUAUUAUGGUUAAUACUAGUAGCUUUUUCAUUUCAAGUUUUAUCCUUCCAUUGGUUCUUUCUGAGUCAAAUUGUCUCCUGUUUCGAACCAUAUAUAAGUUUUCAAUGGUUUUGUAUUAACUCAAGUAUUCAACAUUAUGUCUCUCUUUUUCUUGCUUGGAUCUCUAAUGCUGUUCAUAUUUUAAAGCAUAGGUUUAGGUUAGAUGCAUGUAACUGCCAAUUAAAAGAAGGUCAAGAGUUUUUUGAUUGUAUGAAUAUAUGAGUUAGUCAAAGCAGAUCCACACG
RNAcentral lists this unclassified non-coding RNA (382 nucleotides) under Arabidopsis thaliana (thale cress). RNAcentral's name for it is "partial MIR159b microRNA precursor". Lineage: Eukaryota; Viridiplantae; Streptophyta; Magnoliopsida; Brassicales; Brassicaceae. The record is from RNAcentral.